Pelobates cultripes (western spadefoot toad) is the source of this 208-nucleotide non-coding RNA. NCBI's taxonomy places the organism in Eukaryota, Metazoa, Chordata, Amphibia, Anura, Pelobatidae. The record is from the annotation of a GenBank genome assembly.
CUAUUAUAAAAAGUAGGAGUUGAGGCACCUAUCUUAACUUGCCAUACUGUGCAAAUAAAGAGUUAAAGGAACAUUCCACCUACCAUAACCACUACAGUAUGCUGUCAUGGUUAUAGUGUAGGAGUUCCCUGGUAUCCCCCCACCCCAAUGUAAGCAGUCAAACAAUUUGCUAAUGUUUGGACAAAUUACCUGGGGCUCACCAGGUGCC